Long non-coding RNA from Ictalurus punctatus (channel catfish), 2348 nucleotides. Lineage: Eukaryota; Metazoa; Chordata; Actinopteri; Siluriformes; Ictaluridae. The record is from Ensembl.
UAAAAAAUAUAUUUUUUGUGAUGAAAUUCUGAGUUGACUUGCUGUCAUUUCUUUUAUUUUCACUGGUCCAUUUGUUACUUUGGUUAAUGCUGCAUGCGAGUCCGAAUUGUUUCGUGGACCCGGACAGUCCGGCACUUGCGCUUUCGCCACAGAGGCAAAGCGCACACGAUGCUUCUCCUUCAGGAUACGAUGCAUAUGGUGAAUAUUAUAUAUACAAACGCGCUCCCUCCAGAAUGUCUCAUUUUAGCGACAAGAACUUGAUUUGUUGUCAAAAGUGGAAUGCAAGUUGCUCUGCCCACUGAGAAGUUACUAUGGCAACCAGCAUCAGGGACGCCUCACGUCGUAGUACCGCGACCGGCGAGUAGCAGCGAUAAAAUCGAUGUAUCUUAACUUCCCCACAGGAAUCAAGAAAAUGCAUCAUCAACCAACAAAUCAGCACCAAGAUCGUUAAACACAAAUAUUUCGGAUUAAGCAUAUUUUAAAGUGUUUCUGGUGGAGUUUUCCCAGAUCACAGCAUUGUAUCAAAAAUGUAAACAGCUGGGUAUUUUUCUUUCAUUUCCCCCACAGUGUGCAUUAUUCCAUAUUCCAUAUUCCAUUAAGCUCACAAAUGUUGGAGUUCUUCUUAUGUUUGCAUGCAGUAGGACAGAAUACACUACACUAUACUCAAUAUAUUGGGAUUUGAUGCAUUUGUUUUAUUUGAUCAUGACAUGAUCGUGUGAGGUUCGAAUCCCGCCUCUGCCCUGUGUGCGUGGAGUUUGCAAGUUUCUCCCUGUGCGUCGGGGGUUUCCUCCGGGUACUCCGGUUUCCUCCCCAGUCCAAAGACAUGCGCUGUAGGCUGAUUGGCAUCUCUAAACUGUCCGUAGUGUGUGAUUGUGCCCUGCGAUGGGCUCGCACCCUGUACAGGGUACCCGGAGCUCCCUGAGAACCUGUGUAGGAUCAGCGGUACAGAAAAUGGAUGGAAUAGAAAGGAUCAUGUGAUCAAUGCCCUCUGAUUGAGAACAUCUGAUUUGAGGGUCAAACCGCUUACUACAAAUAAGUCACUUAUUUGUGUAAUCCAUCUGCAUACAGUAGCCUUUUGAGGUGUCAGUAUUCAGGGCUGAUUAACAAUUGUAGGAGUAUCUAACUAUUUGAUAGGCAAACACCACAAUGAUUAUCCAUGCAUUUGACCUAAUAAGCAAGAAUGCAUUUUCCCAAUCAAGCGACUUUAUCCAUGACUUGAGUUACGCUCAAAACAGCACUAGCAUAACGCAAGAGUUGAAUUAAUCGGUCGUAUUUGUUAACGCGGUAGUAUGCGCAUGUCUAACGCAGCCAUGACGACGAGUAAAAACGUUACAGCAGCUAACGUGUUGUUUAGCCAUAUUUAAUUCGGGAUGCUAGCACGCGGUUUGGGCCGAAAAAAAGCCCUCGGUUCCUGCAAUAUGGAGUGGUUUUGCCUCGUGGCGAGCGUUUGGCGGCGCUCUCCGUUAUUCUCCGGACUCUUCUCCGAGCGCCCCGCGGUGUCCGCGGCUCUACCAAGCCGGAGCGCGGCGGUCUUUAGGCGGCGCUCUUCACUUUUCUCCGUAGGUCUGUCGCACACAGGCGAGGCCUUCUUUCCCCUCCGCUCUCAAAAGAAUCUCUUACUUACCUCUCUCUCUCAUUCUCUCUCUCCGGUGUGUUACCGCUUGGACAAUCCCUCAUGCUGCGAACUCUCCAGCAUCUGCACGACCGUUAGAGCCUCUUCCACGCGGUUUUCUGCCGAAUGAAGAAAUCAACACGGACAAUUCGCGACUUUUUCUGAAAGAUUUGGGCGAUUAUAUAAACGCCGCGAGUGAGGGAUUGUAUCUUUUUUCUCUAGCCGUUGUCUUCCGCAGUGUGUGCAUGCUGACCCGCCCCUAGGGGUCACGUGCCGUUUUUCGGAGGCGCUGAUUGGACGUGGAAGCUGUCAGUAAAAAAAAACUUGUUCAGCGCAAACGGAAGACAGUUUGAGCUCCGUAUGUGAGCGCGAGUGUGUGUGUGAGAGAGAGCCGUUAUCACACUGCACCAUUACCGUGUCUGCAUCAGUUUCUUAAUGAAUAAACCUUCCAUUUCAAACUUGUGUAUGGGUUUUCAUCUGGUUUUAUAUAUAUAAAUAAGAUAUUCCCUAGAAAAUCAAUUAUACAUUUUUAAGGCUUAGAUGGCUACAUUGGAGAUCACUUGUAAGCAGACGUGACCUAGAGGAGUCAGACAUGUUCCGCCAUGUCUAUACUCCUGUUUUGAUCUGACUGGUUAAGCUUCCGAAGUAAAAAUAAAAAUCCAGAAGUAUGUUUGAAAAUAUGAUCCGGGGUUCAGAAUUUUUAUUCACUCCUCCUGAUCCUAAUAAUAAUAUUUCA